UCCUUAACAGUCCAGUGGUCAAGACUCUGCACGUCCAAUGUGAAGGACCCAGGUUCAAUCCCUGGUUGGGGAA
RNAcentral lists this transfer RNA (73 nucleotides) under Bos taurus (domestic cattle). It matches the Rfam family "tRNA". Rfam says of the family: Transfer RNA (tRNA) molecules are approximately 80 nucleotides in length. Their secondary structure includes four short double-helical elements and three loops (D, anti-codon, and T loops). RNAcentral also lists the same sequence under 2 other names. Lineage: Eukaryota; Metazoa; Chordata; Mammalia; Artiodactyla; Bovidae. The record is from Rfam by way of RNAcentral.